RNAcentral lists this long non-coding RNA (537 nucleotides) under Mus musculus (house mouse). Its description in RNAcentral is "zinc finger protein 783". The record is from RNAcentral. Lineage: Eukaryota; Metazoa; Chordata; Mammalia; Rodentia; Muridae.
CCAAGCUGGAGGACUGGCAGAAGAGGCUCGACAAGCAUGUGAUGGGGGCAGCUAUGAGAUGCUCGUUUCCCUGGAUUAUGCCAUCUCCAAACCGGUCAUUCUCACCCAGAUAGAGAGGGGAGAAGAGCCUUGUCCUGCAGGCCCCUGGGGCCAGGAGAAGGGGGGUGAGGAGAAGACAAUAUGUCAAAGGAAACCAAACACCAGUAUUUCUCUGAGUCCAGAGCAGGCCCCAAGUCCAGCUAGCCCUGCCCAGGAGGAACUGAAUCAAAGGCAGACACCUGAGCAGCAGCAAGAGGAAGCAACCAUGAUUCCACCUGAGCCAGGCACUGGGAUUCCAGCAAGCACCAGCCCUUUAUCACUUAAACAGGAGGAAGAAUCUGCAGAGGGAGGAGAGUUGCCACCCUCCCCUUCCACAGAUAGCCUGCUUUCUGUGGAGCCAGGACUGGCAUAUGGGGACUGACCUCCAACAACAGACCCAGAUCCAGUCUGCAGAGAUCUCCCUUCUAGCUAUCCUAUCUGCUGUUCAGGCAGUGGAAA